Pelobates cultripes (western spadefoot toad) is the source of this 418-nucleotide non-coding RNA. The record is from the annotation of a GenBank genome assembly. NCBI's taxonomy places the organism in Eukaryota, Metazoa, Chordata, Amphibia, Anura, Pelobatidae.
GGGCAAGAAAUAUAUAACGAGAUAUGAAAAAGAGGUAUUGAGAGAGAUAGACAUUAGAGUGUCAGGGAAAGAGACAUUGAUUUUAGAGGAAGUGAGGGCAGAGACCUCCAAAAAAGAGACUGGGUAAACAGAAUUAGAGUGUACUGAAGAAAAGAGACCUCAAAACAGAACUGGGAGUUAAGGAAAAAGAAAUGAGAUGGGGAAACAGGGGUAGUGAGAUUAUAUUUAGGGAGAGAAAGAGAGAGAGACAGACAGCAGUGAGAAUAGAGCUGAGAUCUGUUAGUGUUAGAGACAGGGGCCCAUGAAGAGACAGCAAAGUCAUAUAGACAGGAGAAGAUGGGAGAGACAAACAGGAACUGAAAGAGGAAUGAGCGACAGAUACUGAGAUACAGAAAGAGACCAUUGAAGAGAGAUGCAG